This 589-nucleotide long non-coding RNA is filed under the name Anas platyrhynchos platyrhynchos (common mallard). RNAcentral describes it as "lncRNA (ENSAPLG00000028737.1)". The record is from RNAcentral. Lineage: Eukaryota; Metazoa; Chordata; Aves; Anseriformes; Anatidae.
AGAAACCGUGGCAAUGCUGACACUUUUGGCCUGGAACUUGGCAGGGCUGUGAAAGAAUGUGGAGCUGUUGUUGCAAACAGCUCAUUUUGUGACUUGAAAGGGAAGGGCUUGUAGUUUCAGACGUACCACUUCUGCAGAUCAGUGACAAGGAGGAGACUUUGGUAUCAGUCCACUAGCAUAUCUCUUGCAAGCUGAGAGAAGUGAAUAUAAAGCACUGUAAUCGUUUUCACAGCCUCCAGGAUUCAUAAGACACCAUAAGAAGAAGUUUCUCAAGCUUAAAGUGUUCUAUAAGAUACUAAAUCUUACGUCUCCUGGAGGCCACUGGGGAAAUGAAAAGGCUUUGGUUUCUAUGAAGAAGAAAGAGACUAUCUAAGAUAGGACCUCUGAAGAAGGAGCAAAACCCAGGGAGGACAUGCUAAUGCUAAACAAAGCUGGGAGGAGAAUAUCCAUCAUUUCCAGAUGUGGACAUAUGAUCCAGGAGGCAAUUGAAGGUAUUUUGAAAUCAUAUGGUUUGGUUUAUGAAUUUGGAUUGGUCAAGAGAGAUUUGCUUGAAAUCCUUGAGAGAGUAUGGCACCUCGCUGACUUGAGA